RNAcentral lists this ribosomal RNA (521 nucleotides) under uncultured bacterium. Its description in RNAcentral is "bacterial SSU rRNA". It matches the Rfam family "Archaeal small subunit ribosomal RNA", at positions 345 to 866 of the family's 1478-position model. The record is from RNAcentral.
AACCUCCGCAAUGUGAGAAAUCGCGACGGGGGGAUCCCAAGUGCCAUUCUUAACGGGAUGGCUUUUCAUUAGUGUAAAGAGCUUUUGGAAUAAGGGCUGGGCAAGACCGGUGCCAGCCGCCGCGGUAACACCGGCAGCUCUAGUGGUAGCAGUUUUUAUUGGGCCUAAAGCGUCCGUAGCCGGUUUAAUAAGUCUCUGGUGAAAUCCUGUAGCUUAACUGUGGGAAUUGCUGGAGAUACUAUUAGACUUGAGACCGGGGGAGGUUAGAGGUACUCCCAGGGUAGAGGUGAAAUUCUGUAAUCCUGGGAGGACCGCCUGUUGCGAAGGCGUCUAACUGGAACGGUUCUGACGGUGAGGGACGAAAGUUAGGGGCGCGAACCGGAUUAGAUACCCGGGUAGUCCUAACUGUAAACGAUGCGGGCUUGGUGUUGGGGUGGCUUUGAGCUGCUCCAGUGCCGAAGGGAAGCUGUUAAGUCCGCCGCCUGGGAAGUACGGUCGCAAGACUGAAACUUAAAGGAAUU